GACGAACGCUGGCGGCGUGCUUAACACAUGCAAGUCGAACGGAAAGGCCCUGCUUUUGUGGGGUGCUCGAGUGGCGAACGGGUGAGUAACACGUGAGUAACCUGCCCUUGACUUUGGGAUAACUUCAGGAAACUGGGGCUAAUACCGGAUAGGAGCUCCUGCUGCAUGGUGGGGGUUGGAAAGUUUCGGCGGUUGGGGAUGGACUCGGGGCUUAUCAGCUUGUUGGUGGGGUAGUGGCUUACCAAGGCAUUGACGGGUAGCCGGCCUGAGAGGGUGACCGGCCACAAUGGGACUGAGAUACGGCCCAGACUCCUACGGGAGGCAGCAGUGGGGAAUAUUGCACAAUGGGCGGAAGCCUGAUGCAGCAACGCCGCGUGCGGGAUGACGGCCUUCGGGUUGUAAACCGCUUUCGCCUGUGACGAAGCGGGAGUGACGGUAAUGGGUAAAGAAGCACCGGCUAACUACGUG
Molecule: ribosomal RNA, 468 nt
Filed under: uncultured bacterium
Lineage: Bacteria
Description: partial 16S ribosomal RNA
Rfam family: Bacterial small subunit ribosomal RNA
Source: RNAcentral